AGGCAUCUAAGCGUGAAGCCCCCCUCAAGAUGAGAUGUCCCAUUCGAAAGAAGUAAACCCCCUUGAAGACGACGAGGUAGAUAGGGCAGGGGUGGAAGUGCAGUAAUGUAUGGAGCUGACUGUUACUAAUCGGGUGAGGGCUUGACCAA
RNAcentral lists this ribosomal RNA (149 nucleotides) under Clostridiales bacterium. Its description in RNAcentral is "partial 23S ribosomal RNA". It matches the Rfam family "Bacterial large subunit ribosomal RNA", at positions 2775 to 2925 of the family's 2925-position model. The record is from RNAcentral. Lineage: Bacteria; Bacillati; Bacillota; Clostridia; Eubacteriales.